UGCAACCCGACUCCAUGAAGCUGGAUUCGCUAGUAAUCGCGCAUCAGCCACGGCGCGGUGAAUACGUUCCCGGGCCUUGUACACACCGCCCGUCAAGCCAUGGAAGCCGGGAGUGCCUGAAGUGCGUGAGCGCAAGCAGCGCCCUAAGGUAAAACCGGUGACUGGGGCUAAGUCGUAACAAGGUACC
This 187-nucleotide ribosomal RNA is filed under the name uncultured bacterium. RNAcentral describes it as "partial 16S ribosomal RNA". It matches the Rfam family "Bacterial small subunit ribosomal RNA", at positions 1306 to 1500 of the family's 1533-position model. The record is from RNAcentral.